This is a microRNA precursor of Oryza rufipogon (brownbeard rice), 202 nucleotides long. It matches the Rfam family "MIR812 microRNA precursor family". NCBI's taxonomy places the organism in Eukaryota, Viridiplantae, Streptophyta, Magnoliopsida, Poales, Poaceae. The record is from Rfam.
UAUAAGGGAUUUUGAGUUUUUGUGUGAACUGUUUGACCACUCGUCUUAUUAAAAAAUUUUUGGAAUUAUUAUUUAUUUUUUUUUGACUUACUUUAUUAUCUAAAGUACUUUAAGCGCAACUUUUCGUUUUUUAUAUUUGUACAAAUUUUUGAAUAAGACGAGUGGUCAAACAGUUCAACCAAAAACUCAAAAAUCCCUUAUA